GCGGAAGUAGUUCAGUGGUAGAACAUCACCUUGCCAUGGUGGGGGUCGCGGGUUCGAAUUCCGUCUUCCGCU
This 72-nucleotide transfer RNA is filed under the name Lactobacillus crispatus. Its description in RNAcentral is "tRNA-Gly". It matches the Rfam family "tRNA". From Rfam's summary of the family: Transfer RNA (tRNA) molecules are approximately 80 nucleotides in length. The record is from RNAcentral. Lineage: Bacteria; Bacillati; Bacillota; Bacilli; Lactobacillales; Lactobacillaceae.